This 497-nucleotide ribosomal RNA is filed under the name uncultured bacterium. Its description in RNAcentral is "partial 16S ribosomal RNA". It matches the Rfam family "Bacterial small subunit ribosomal RNA", at positions 28 to 507 of the family's 1533-position model. The record is from RNAcentral.
GAUGAACGCUGGCGGCGUGCCUAAUACAUGCAAGUCGAGCGAACAGACGAGGAGCUUGCUCCUCUGACGUUAGCGGCGGACGGGUGAGUAACACGUGGAUAACCUACCUAUAAGACUGGGAUAACUUCGGGAAACCGGAGCUAAUACCGGAUAACAUGUUGAACCGCAUGGUUCAACAGUGAAAGACGGUCUUGCUGUCACUUAUAGAUGGAUCCGCGCCGCAUUAGCUAGUUGGUAAGGUAACGGCUUACCAAGGCAACGAUGCGUAGCCGACCUGAGAGGGUGAUCGGCCACACUGGAACUGAGACACGGUCCAGACCCCUACGGGAGGCAGCAGUAGGGAAUCUUCCGCAAUGGGCGAAAGCCUGACGGAGCAACGCCGCGUGAGUGAAGAAGGUCUUCGGAUCGUAAAACUCUGUUAUUAGGGAAGAACAAAUGUGUAAGUAACUAUGCACGUCUUGACGGUACCUAAUCAGAAAGCCACGGCUAACUACGUG